UCAAAUAAAAUUGUUCUUCACAGACGUGAGGCUUUGAUCGCGUUAGCGAAGAAGGAAAUUAAAUAGCUGGGCAGAAUGUUUAAAAGGGUCUAAUUCACGAAUUUUAGUCUAAUUUUCUCCAUUGUUAGGCGAUUUUGAAGCUUUUUGAAGAGGGUUGAAGAGGGACUCGAGGGGAAUCAUUUGGAGGUAACAUUUUUUACAACAUAACUCAUUUUUAUGUGAUUGAAUACCUAAUUAAUGGGGAGAAAUUUUGGAAAAAUGGGUAAUUAGGGUUUGGGUUAGGAGGCCUUUAAAUGAGGAUUUGAGGGGUCAUUUGAACUCCGAUAUUCGUACUCUUUAUAUGCAUAAUUCUUGAGAUAGUGAGGUUUUCAAAAAUAUAAAUUUCACCCGAUUCGGAGAUGUUGGCCUGAGGGGCAUUUUGUCAUUGUACAUAAUCUAGCGUAUUAGCUUAGAAUUUAAUUGUAGGAUUAGCUUCUAGAAGUAUUAUUUACAUUAUGAAAUGGAAUUGAAUAGAUUUGGG
Molecule: long non-coding RNA, 520 nt
Filed under: Nicotiana benthamiana
Lineage: Eukaryota; Viridiplantae; Streptophyta; Magnoliopsida; Solanales; Solanaceae
Description: long non-coding RNA (NBEN_LNC030771)
Source: RNAcentral